AGUGAACGCUGGCGGUAGGCCUAACACAUGCAAGUCGAACGGCAGCACAGUAAGAGCUUGCUCUUACGGGUGGCGAGUGGCGGACGGGUGAGGAAUACAUCGGAAUCUACUUUUUCGUGGGGGAUAACGUAGGGAAACUUACGCUAAUACCGCAUACGACCUACGGGUGAAAGCAGGGGAUCUUCGGACCUUGCGCGAUUGAAUGAGCCGAUGUCGGAUUAGCUAGUUGGCGGGGUAAAGGCCCACCAAGGCGACGAUCCGUAGCUGGUCUGAGAGGAUGAUCAGCCACACUGGAACUGAGACACGGUCCAGACUCCUACGGGAGGCAGCAGUGGGGAAUAUUGGACAAUGGGCGCAAGCCUGAUCCAGCCAUACAGCGUGGGUGAAGAAGGCCUUCGGGUUGUAAAGCCCUUUUGUUGGGAAAGAAAAGCAGCAGGUUAAUACCCCGCUGUGCUGACGGUACCCAAAGAAUAAGCACCGGCUAACUUCGUG
RNAcentral lists this ribosomal RNA (492 nucleotides) under uncultured bacterium. Its description in RNAcentral is "partial 16S ribosomal RNA". It matches the Rfam family "Bacterial small subunit ribosomal RNA", at positions 29 to 507 of the family's 1533-position model. The record is from RNAcentral.